RNAcentral lists this ribosomal RNA (767 nucleotides) under Stenotrophomonas maltophilia. Its description in RNAcentral is "bacterial LSU rRNA". It matches the Rfam family "Bacterial large subunit ribosomal RNA", at positions 336 to 1110 of the family's 2925-position model. The record is from RNAcentral. Lineage: Bacteria; Pseudomonadati; Pseudomonadota; Gammaproteobacteria; Lysobacterales; Lysobacteraceae.
AACACUCUGGAAAGAGCGGCCAUAGAAGGUGAUAGCCCUGUAUCUGAAAGGGCCAUUUCAGUGAAGACGAGUAGGGCGGGGCACGUGAAACCCUGUCUGAACAUGGGGGGACCAUCCUCCAAGGCUAAAUACUACUGACCGACCGAUAGUGAACCAGUACCGUGAGGGAAAGGCGAAAAGAACCCCGGAGAGGGGAGUGAAAUAGAACCUGAAACCGUGUGCGUACAAGCAGUAGGAGCUCCGCAAGGAGUGACUGCGUACCUUUUGUAUAAUGGGUCAGCGACUUACUGUUCGUGGCAAGCUUAACCGUAUAGGGGAGGCGAAGGGAAACCGAGUCUGAUAAGGGCGCAUAGUCGCGGGCAGUAGACCCGAAACCGGGUGAUCUAGUCAUGCCCAGGGUGAAGGUGCGGUAACACGCACUGGAGGCCCGAACCCACUCCCGUUGCAAAGGUAGGGGAUGAGGUGUGAUUAGGAGUGAAAAGCUAAUCGAACCCGGAGAUAGCUGGUUCUCCUCGAAAGCUAUUUAGGUAGCGCCUCAUAUGUAUCCUCUCGGGGGUAGAGCACUGUUAUGGCUAGGGGGUCAUCGCGACUUACCAAACCAUUGCAAACUCCGAAUACCGAGACGGACUGUAUGGGAGACACACGGCGGGUGCUAACGUCCGUCGUGAAAAGGGAAACAACCCAGACCCACAGCUAAGGUCCCAAAUUCUCGUGCUAAGUGGAAAACCAUGUGGAAAAGGCACAGACAGCCAGGAGGUUGGCUUAGA